This 481-nucleotide ribosomal RNA is filed under the name uncultured bacterium. RNAcentral's name for it is "bacterial SSU rRNA". It matches the Rfam family "Bacterial small subunit ribosomal RNA", at positions 32 to 524 of the family's 1533-position model. The record is from RNAcentral.
AAUCAACGCUGGCGGCGUGCCUCAGACAUGCAAGUCGAACGAUUAAACUUUCCUUCGGGAAAGAUAUAAAGUGGCGCACGGGUGAGUAACACGUAAGUAAUCUACCCUCGAGUGGGGAAUAACGUCCGGAAACGGACGCUAAUACCGCAUAAUGCAGCGGCACCGCAAGGUGACAGUUGUUAAAGAUUUAUCGCUUGAGGAGGAGCUUGCGGCAGAUUAGCUAGUUGGUAAGGAAUGGCUUACCAAGGCUACGAUCUGUAACCGGUCUAAGAGGACGGUCGGUCACACUGACACUGAAUAACGGGUCAGACUCCUACGGGAGGCAGCAGUCGGGAAUUUUGGGCAAUGGGCGAAAGCCUGACCCAGCAACGCCGCGUGAAGGAUGAAGUAUUUCGGUAUGUAAACUUCGAAAGAAUGGGAAGAAUAAAUGACGGUACCAUUUAUAAGGUCCGGCUAACUACGUGCCAGCAGCCGCCGUAAU